Molecule: ribosomal RNA, 491 nt
Filed under: uncultured bacterium
Lineage: Bacteria
Description: partial 16S ribosomal RNA
Rfam family: Bacterial small subunit ribosomal RNA
Source: RNAcentral
AGUGAACGCUGGCGGUAGGCCUAACACAUGCAAGUCGAACGGCAGCACAGUAAGAGCUUGCUCUUACGGGUGGCGAGUGGCGGACGGGUGAGGAAUACAUCGGAAUCUACUUUUUCGUGGGGGAUAACGUAGGGAAACUUACGCUAAUACCGCAUACGACCUACGGGUGAAAGCAGGGGAUCUUCGGACCUUGCGCGAUUGAAUGAGCCGAUGUCGGAUUAGCUAGUUGGCGGGGUAAAGGCCCACCAAGGCGACGAUCCGUAGCUGGUCUGAGAGGAUGAUCAACACAACGGGAAAGAAGACGCGGCCCCAACUCGUAGGGGAGGCAGGGGGGGGAAUUAUUGGGCAGGGGGCGGAAGCCUGACCCAGCCAUACCGCGUGGGUGAAGAAGGCCUUCGGUUUGUAAAGCCCUUUUGUUGGGAAAAAAAAACAGCAGGUUAAUCCCCCGGUUUUCGACCGGUACCCAAAAAAAAAGCACCGGCAAACUUGGG